Molecule: long non-coding RNA, 220 nt
Organism: Sphaeramia orbicularis (orbiculate cardinalfish)
Lineage: Eukaryota; Metazoa; Chordata; Actinopteri; Kurtiformes; Apogonidae
Exons: 2
Source: RefSeq, a predicted model, not a curated record
ACAGAUCCUCUCUGAAGGAGGAGGCCUGUCUGAUGGAGCCGUUCAUCCAUCGAUGGUCAUUUUCCAUCAGAACCAGUAGAUCCAGAGAUGUGGGUGUAGACAACAACGGAAGAGACGUCAGCGGUGGACCUGUGAGGGGGAGCAGAGACCCCAGACCCUCCCACAAAAAGACAAAAUGACCCCACUGAGACUGUAACUAUAGUAAACUGCAUGAACUUCA